AGAGUUUGAUCCUGGCUCAGGAUGAACGCUAGCUACAGGCUUAACACAUGCAAGUCGUGCGGGAUGCUUCGGCAUCCAGCGGCAAACGGGUGAGUAACACGUAUCCAACCUGGCCCACACACGGGGAUAGCCCCUCGAAAGAGAGAUUAAUACCCGAUGUUCUGUACAGUCCGCAUGUUCAGUACAGCAAAGGCUUCGGCCGGUAUGGGAUGGGGAUGCGUUCCAUUAGGUAGUAGGCGGGGCAACGGCCCACCUAGCCUGUGAUGGAUAGGGGUUCUGAGAGGAAGGUCCCCCACAUUGGAACUGCGACACGGUCCAAACUCCUACGGGAGGCAGCAGUGAGGAAUAUUGGUCAAUGGACGGGAGUCUGAACCAGCCAAGUAGCGUGAGGGAUGACGGCCAUAUGGUUGUAAACCUCUUUUGCGAGGGAAUAAAGUGCGUCACGUGUGGUGCAUUGCAUGUACCUUGCGAAUAAGGAUCGGCUAACUCCGUGCCAGCAGCCGCGGUAAUACGGAGGAUCCGAGCGUUAUCCGGAUUUAUUGGGUUUAAAGGGUGCGUAGGCGGUAAGGUAAGUCAGCGGUGAAAUGUCCUCGCUUAACGAGGGAACUGCCGUUGAUACUGUUUUACUUGAAUUCGGAUGCCGUGGGAGGAAUGUGUAGUGUAGCGGUGAAAUGCAUAGAUAUUACACAGAACACCGAUUGCGAAGGCAUCUCACGAAUCCGACAUUGACGCUGAGGCACGAAAGUGUGGGGAUCAAACAGGAUUAGAUACCCUGGUAGUCCACACUGUAAACGAUGAUAACUAACCGUUGGCGAUAUACAGUCAGUGGCCAAGCGAAAGCGAUAAGUUACCCACCUGGGGAGUACGUUCGCAAGAAUGAAACUCAAAGGAAUUGACGGGGGCCCGCACAAGCGGAGGAACAUGUGGUUUAAUUCGAUGAUACGCGAGGAACCUUACCCGGGCUCGAACGGCAGACGAACGAUACAGAGAUGUAAAGGCCAGCAAUGGCGUCUGUCGAGGUGCUGCAUGGUUGUCGUCAGCUCGUGCCGUGAGGUGUCGGCUUAAGUGCCAUAACGAGCGCAACCCUUGUUGUCAGUUGCCAUCAGGUAAAGCUGGGGACUCUGGCGAGACUGCCACCGUAAGGUGUGAGGAAGGGGGGGAUGACGUCAAAUCAGCACGGCCCUUACGUCCGGGGCGACACACGUGUUACAAUGGUGGGUACAGAAGGCCGCUACCUGGUGACAGGAUGCCAAUCUUCAAAACCCAUCUCAGUUCGGAUUGGAGUCUGCAACUCGACUCCAUGAAGUUGGAUUCGCUAGUAAUCGCGCAUCAGCCAUGGCGCGGUGAAUACGUUCCCGGGCCUUGCACUCAACGCCCGUCAAG
This 1383-nucleotide ribosomal RNA is filed under the name uncultured bacterium. RNAcentral describes it as "bacterial SSU rRNA". It matches the Rfam family "Bacterial small subunit ribosomal RNA". The record is from RNAcentral.